CCCCCCCACUCCCCCCUAUUCUCCCCACCGCAAGUCUUAUUUCUAUUUUUCUGUUCUUUUUCGCUCAAAGCCCCUACCUCUCCAACAAUGAAAGUAUGAAACCCUAGCGCCUUCCACCGGUUGCAAUGCUCUCCUUGACAGUCGGUGAUUUAGCUGGCGACAAUACGAAGGCUCUCUACAGUCACCGACGAAACAAGACUCUGGAAACUCUGUUGCUUUCUCUUUUUCUGCCCAAACUCUCCUGUUUCUUUUCUCUUCACGAAGGGCCCAAACCCUCUUUUCUCUUCUUGUCAGGAUCCAGCCUUUCAUCUCUCCAAUGGGGAUUAAUCUCAUCAGCAAGAAUAGACACAACGACUUGAUUUCAGUGACCAAACACAGAGUACUCCCACCGACAACCAUUGUUGGUAGGCUAUUAUCACCGAUGACCAUGACCGGUUCCAAGUAUCUUUUUUUUUUCUUCCAAAUUGGUCCAAAUGAAUGUAGUGUUUUCUAGUUUGAAUUGGAGCAUACAGAGACCAGCUCUAGUGAACAAUACUUCCUAUUUCUUGAUUGAGAUCGGCAACUUCUCUUUAUUUUUAUACAAAGACCAGCAACUUUAAAAUUUGUUGUCUA
Nelumbo nucifera (sacred lotus) is the source of this 612-nucleotide long non-coding RNA. RefSeq lists it as uncharacterized. Lineage: Eukaryota; Viridiplantae; Streptophyta; Magnoliopsida; Proteales; Nelumbonaceae. The record is from RefSeq and is a predicted model, not a curated record.